AUCCUAGUGCACGGGUUUUACACGUAUCAGUGAGGAGACAUCCGAGAUCGUGUUUUUACUAGUUGAAAACUACCAAAUUGACUACUUCAAGUGGGCUUUCGGGCCCGCUUGGGAAUUUUUGAAACUCCACUACCUCAUCUCCUUGCUGGU
This 150-nucleotide small nuclear RNA is filed under the name Penicillium griseofulvum. RNAcentral's name for it is "U4 spliceosomal RNA". The stretch from base 1 to 133 matches the Rfam family "U4 spliceosomal RNA". Rfam says of the family: U4 small nuclear RNA (U4 snRNA) is a component of the major U2-dependent spliceosome. The structure of U4 snRNA from yeast and human has been reported. U4 snRNA presents a k-turn RNA motif in the 5p-SL related to recognition of Snu13 protein. The record is from Rfam by way of RNAcentral. Lineage: Eukaryota; Fungi; Ascomycota; Eurotiomycetes; Eurotiales; Aspergillaceae.